GAGAAAAAGGAGAAGGAGAAGGAGGAAGAGAAGAAGUCCACAAAGGUCCUGGAGAUGGAGCGAUGUAGAAUCUGAAGAGCUGUGUUCUACAGGGACUGAUGUGCUACACCUACUGUACUUAAUGGAGAUGUCACUUUGAUGUGGUUCACCAAGUUCCUUGGCUCUCCGCCUGGGAUUCCUGGCUGAUCCUAGAAUGAGUGGACGGUCCUUGUUCUCUUCACAGCCCUGUUAGCAGGGUCCUGUUGUGCCUCUACGUCAAGUUCUCAAAAAGGAGCUGCUGACUUUUUGAGUCUGUAGCAGCACAAGUACCUGACUGGGCGGUCCAGGGUUCAAGAGGAAAUCAACACGUCUCACAUCUGCAGGUGUCAGUGCAUAAAGACACGAGACGUUUCCUGGCAGAAAUGUGAGACUGGAGAAAUUGAGCCAUGAAUGGCUCCAUUUAUGGAUCCUUACCCGUGAUUGACAGAAUGGCUAUUAGGAGCGAAUAUUAGCAGCGCUCUUUGAAUUGGCUGUGCCUCCUGCCAAGCACUUGACAUGGAUUAUCUACUUUACGUCUGGCAAGAGACUGAGGUGUGUGUCCCCUCCCCCGUUUUCGCCGAUCAGGGAAAUGAGACCCAGAAAGGUGGCGUAAUUCAUGUUCAAGAUCAAGCUGGUCACCCUGAGGUGGCCUUGUGCCAACAUUCCUUUCUGCUUCUCUUCCCCUACACCAUGGUGUUAGCUGAUGGGGCCAACUUACUCCAUUUGCAACAACGGCAGUAUCAACAGUGACCCCCUCGGAGUUGUCCAGAGUUCACAGCCAGUAUGGUCUUCUGCAAUUGCUGUCUCACAUGAUAUGAACGCCUUGUGAGAUAAACAGGCAAUGACCAUAAUCCUUAUC
This is a non-coding RNA of Myodes glareolus (Bank vole), 877 nucleotides long. The record is from RefSeq and is a predicted model, not a curated record. NCBI's taxonomy places the organism in Eukaryota, Metazoa, Chordata, Mammalia, Rodentia, Cricetidae.